This is a long non-coding RNA of Rhinichthys klamathensis goyatoka, 617 nucleotides long. RefSeq lists it as uncharacterized. Lineage: Eukaryota; Metazoa; Chordata; Actinopteri; Cypriniformes; Leuciscidae. The record is from RefSeq and is a predicted model, not a curated record. The transcript has 2 exons.
UCCAAGCUUGUUUGCAUUGUCUAGUAUUUCCAUCUUUAGCUGCUGAAUCCCCUGACGCUUUGCCACCUGAGGGGCAGUAAGGUGUGAUGCAAGCCAGAGGCCACAAACAAACAGCCGCACAUGAAGAGCCCCGCGACAGGGGGGGAGAUAUGCACACAGAGCGAAACGCGACGCCGGAGAAAGCUACAGCACCCCCUCUUGUCCAGCAAUACAGAACCGAUGCCUCCUUAAGGUGUCUCUCCUUUACAUUAGGAAAUCUGUAGAUGAGCCAAUUCACAAAAGAACUUGAAAGGCGUUCUGUACAUAGUAUGCAUGUAUGUGUAAGGUAGGGUUACUUAAAGAUAUGGUAUUUACAAUUUCGGAGGAAUUCGGUUGAAAUGAAUUUAACAGGGUUUCAACAAAACGAGCUUUCUUUACAAACUGCGGGGACGUCUGUAAAGAGAAAUGUGUCUUGUACUGGAUAUCGAUGAAUAGUGCAUCUAAGCUGUGAUGGGUUAAAGGAUUAGUUCACUUUUAAAAAAACUUUUGCUGAUAAUUUACUCACCCCCCAUGUCAUCCAAGAUGUCCAUGUCUUUCUUUCUUCAGUCGAAAAGAAAUUAAUGUUUUUGAUGAAAACA